RNAcentral lists this long non-coding RNA (290 nucleotides) under Elaeis guineensis (African oil palm). RNAcentral's name for it is "long non-coding RNA (EGUI_LNC034292)". The record is from RNAcentral. Lineage: Eukaryota; Viridiplantae; Streptophyta; Magnoliopsida; Arecales; Arecaceae.
AGGGGUGGAUGAUGCGUAGGUGCCGGGGUGAUAUAGGGAACGGUUGGAUGCUGAGGUGGUGCCGGGAAGAUGAUGAGGAUGAGGAUGGUGAGGAUGACUGGUGAGGUGCUAGGAUGGUGAGGUGAUACCGGACAUUGAGGAUGGGAAGAUGAGGACAGAAAGGAGAUUAGCCAGAAGAUGAGGGAAAGAUUAAAAAUUAAAAAAAAAGAUGAGGAAAAGAUGAGAAAGAUAAGGAGAGAAAGAAUAGGAAGAAAAUAAAAAUUUAAAAUCUAAAGAAAGAUUCAUGGAUC